RNAcentral lists this ribosomal RNA (311 nucleotides) under uncultured eukaryote. Its description in RNAcentral is "partial 18S ribosomal RNA". It matches the Rfam family "Eukaryotic small subunit ribosomal RNA", at positions 1470 to 1796 of the family's 1831-position model. The record is from RNAcentral.
CCCUUAGAUGUCCUGGGCCGCACGCGUGCUACACUGAUGCAUACAGCGAGUACUCCCAGCUCCGAGAGGCUGCUGGUAAUCAGCAAUAUGCAUCGUGAUGGGGAUAGAUCUUUGGAAUUAUAGAUCUUGAACGAGGAAUUCCUAGUAAUCGCAGGUCAUCACCCUGCGUUGACUAAGUCCCUGCCCUUUGUAUACACCGCCCGUCGCUCCUACCGAUUUCGAGUGAUCCGGUGAAUCAUUCGGACCGCGGCCCCUAGGCAUGCGGAAAGUCUAGUAAACCAUAUCACUUAGAGGAAGGAGAAGUCGUAACA